Molecule: unclassified non-coding RNA, 255 nt
Filed under: plant metagenome
Description: partial contains small subunit ribosomal RNA, internal transcribed spacer 1, and 5.8S ribosomal RNA
Rfam family: Eukaryotic small subunit ribosomal RNA (bases 1-54)
Source: RNAcentral
AGAAGUAAAAGUCGUAACAAGGUUUCCGUAGGUGAACCUGCGGAAGGAUCAUUAUUGGAUUUUGAAACUUCAGGCUGCUGCUGGCUCUCCUCGGAGGGCAUGUGCACGCUUGUUGUCCAUUAUUUCUCCCACUGUGCACAAAUUGUAGACCUUUCAGUAGGCCUAUGUUGUUUUUCACAAUCUCUGAAUGUAAUAGAAUGGUUUUGAAUCUUGGGAAAUAAAAUACAACUUUCAGCAACGGAUCUCUUGGCUCUC